GAGUUGCCUGGAGGUUGCUGCAGAUUAAUUCUCACUCUCUCUGUCUAGGUUUCUCUUCAGGUUUUGUCUAGGGUUUUGUUCCAAGGAAACCUCAGAGUGUUUUGCUUCUCUCCCUUUUUCUGUCUGUUCUCCCUCUUUUAUAACCUGAUUUUCAUGGCUUUGUGGGCUCAAAUGAGAGAGGUCCAAGUUUGAGAUUUUUUCUUUUAUUUAUUUAUUUA
RNAcentral lists this long non-coding RNA (218 nucleotides) under Lathyrus oleraceus (garden pea). Its description in RNAcentral is "Pisum sativum (pea) long non-coding RNA (PSAT_LNC033247)". Lineage: Eukaryota; Viridiplantae; Streptophyta; Magnoliopsida; Fabales; Fabaceae. The record is from RNAcentral.